This 465-nucleotide ribosomal RNA is filed under the name Vreelandella stevensii. Its description in RNAcentral is "partial 16S ribosomal RNA". It matches the Rfam family "Bacterial small subunit ribosomal RNA", at positions 338 to 795 of the family's 1533-position model. Lineage: Bacteria; Pseudomonadati; Pseudomonadota; Gammaproteobacteria; Oceanospirillales; Halomonadaceae. The record is from RNAcentral.
CCUACGGGGGGCAGCAGUGGGGAAUAUUGGACAAUGGGGGCAACCCUGAUCCAGCCAUGCCGCGUGUGUGAAGAAGGCCCUCGGGUUGUAAAGCACUUUCAGUGAGGAAGAACGCCUGGUGGUUAAUACCCAUCAGGAAAGACAUCACUCACAGAAGAAGCACCGGCUAACUCCGUGCCAGCAGCCGCGGUAAUACGGAGGGUGCGAGCGUUAAUCGGAAUUACUGGGCGUAAAGCGCGCGUAGGUGGCUUGAUAAGCCGGUUGUGAAAGCCCCGGGCUCAACCUGGGAACGGCAUCCGGAACUGUCAAGCUAGAGUGCAGGAGAGGAAGGUAGAAUUCCCGGUGUAGAGGUGAAAUGCGUAGAGAUCGGGAGGAAUACCAGUGGCGAAGGCGGCCUUCUGGACUGACACUGACACUGAGGUGCGAAAGCGUGGGUAGCAAACAGGAUUAGAUACCCUAGUAGUC